This 118-nucleotide ribosomal RNA is filed under the name Octodon degus (degu). Lineage: Eukaryota; Metazoa; Chordata; Mammalia; Rodentia; Octodontidae. The record is from RNAcentral.
AUCUGUAGCCAUACUACCCUGAACGCGCCCGAUCUUGUCUGAUCUCGGAAGCUAAGCAGGGUCUGGCCUGGUUAGUAUUUGGAUGGAAGGGUGACAGACACCCGAGGGGCACCGGCUG